AUAUGCUUGUCCCGAAGCUUAAGCCAUGCAUGUCUAAGAACGAGGGAUCUCUCCGAAUCUGCGAAAGGCUCCGUAUAUCUGUUCUGACCCGCCACCCACCACGGAGGUAGCGGAUACCCCCGGUAAUUCUGAGGUUAAUACGUGCAAUCGGGGCUGCUGCGCGAAGCGGCGGCCCCCCAGGCUUGGACCACGCAACGCCAGGGCGGUGCUCACUGCCGGCUAGCAACCGGGGCAGCCAGGGGGAUUGGCGGGAGGGCCCUGCGCCCGCCCGCCGCCCCCUGGUCCCCCUGGGCGAAAGCGUGAGGGAGUCCAAGUUCCUGGACCGCCCCCUGUUGGGCGGCCGGGUGGCGGGGGCCAGACCUAUCAACUAGACGGCCAGGGAUAGCCUGGCCGUGGUGAUAACGGGUACAGAGGAUCAGGGUUCGAUCCUGGAGAGGUAGCCUGAGAGAUCGCUACUACUUCUAAGGAAGGCAGCAGGCGCGCAACGUUCCCAAUGGGGAUACCCUGAGGACGUCAGGGGACAUACCAAUGCCCGGCCCUUAAAGCCGGGCAAUUGGCAUGGGGGAUCGCCAAACCUCCCACCGAGUAACAAUUGGAGGACAAGUCUGGUGCCAGCACCCGCGGUAAUUCCAGCUCCAAUAGCAUCUAGUUAAGUUGUUGCAGUUAAAACGCUCGUAGUCGAAGGCGGCGUGUCGCCUUCCCGCCCGGUACCCCUCGCGCCGGCCCGCCCCCGCUCACGCGGGGUGCCCGGGCCGGCCCUGGGGGAAAGGCGGGGUCGAGGCGGCCGCUUCUUGCCCGGGAUCCGCUCGCGCCGGGGCUUCAGUGACCCGGCCGGGCGCCCAGGCAGUUUCCUUUGACCAAAUGUGAGCGCUCCAAGCAGGCCAGUUGGGCCCUGAAACCUCCAGCAAAGAAUAAUAGAACAAGGGCCCCCUGCCCGGUUGGUGCAGGUCGGGUCAAUGAUCAAUAGGGGCGAUCGGGGCGGGCCACAUGGCGGGGGUAGGGGUGAAAUCCGUUGAUCCUCGCUAGGUGAACUAGAGCGAAAGCAGCCCGCUAGUACGCUUUCUUUGAUCAAGAACGAAAGUCUGGGGAUCGAAGAUGAUCAGAUACCAUCGUAGUCCAGACCCUAAACGCUGCCGGCCAUGGAUGGGCUCUCGUCCAUUCCGACCCAGCCCGCACCUUGUGGGAAACCAUAAGCGUUUGGGCUCCGGGGGGAGUAUGGUCGCAAGGCUGAAACUUAAAGGAAUUGACGGAAGAGCACACAAGGAGUGGAGCCUGCGGCUUAAUUUGACUCAACACGGGGAAACUCACUAGGGCAAGAGGGGGGCAGGAUGGACAGGCUAGCAGGCCUUUCCUGAUUCCCCCAGUGGUGGUGCAUGGUCGUUCUUAGUUCGUGGAUUGUUUUGUCUGGUCUAUUCCGCUAACGAGCGAGAACCUACUUACCGAGGUUAGGCCCCCAGGCACGCCCAGCGGGCCGCGAGGCCCGCAGGGGCUGAAAACGCCGGGGGGCUCGGUCCGGGGAGACGAGCGGCGUCAAGCUGCUGGCAGCAGGUCAAUAACAGGUCAGUGAUGCCCUUAGAUGCUCUAGGCUGCACGCGCGCUACAAUGGGGCAAGUACCGGGCCUCCCUGUGCCGAGAGGCGGCGGGGAAUCCUCGGGAAAAUGCCCCGUGUCCGGGAUAGCGGCGUGUAAAUCGCCCCUUGAACAAGGAAUUUCUAGUAGUCAUGGGUCACCAGCCCGUGGCGAUUC
This 1745-nucleotide ribosomal RNA is filed under the name Ophiotheca pedata. Its description in RNAcentral is "SSU rRNA". It matches the Rfam family "Eukaryotic small subunit ribosomal RNA", at positions 26 to 1647 of the family's 1831-position model. Lineage: Eukaryota; Evosea; Eumycetozoa; Trichiida; Trichiidae. The record is from RNAcentral.